Molecule: ribosomal RNA, 460 nt
Filed under: uncultured bacterium
Lineage: Bacteria
Description: partial 16S ribosomal RNA
Rfam family: Bacterial small subunit ribosomal RNA
Source: RNAcentral
CCUACGGGAUGCAGCAGUGAGGAAUAUUGGUCAAUGGACGAGAGUCUGAACCAGCCAAGUAGCGUGAAGGAUGACUGCCCUAGGGGUUGUAAACUUCUUUUAUAUGGGAAUAAAAUGUUCCACGUGUGGGAUUUUGUAUGUACCAUAUGAAUAAGGAUCGGCUAACUCCGUGCCAGCAGCCGCGGUAAUACGGAGGAUCCGAGCGUUAUCCGGAUUUAUUGGGUUUAAAGGGAGCGUAGGUGGAUUGUUAAGUCAGUUGUGAAAGUUUGCGGCUCAACCGUAAGAUUGCAGUUGAAACUGGCAGUCUUGAGUACAGUAGAGGUGGGCGGAAUUCGUGGUGUAGCGGUGAAAUGCUUAGAUAUCACGAAGAACUCCGAUUGCGAAGGCAGUUCACUGGACUGCAACUGACACUGAGGCUCGAAAGUGUGGGUAUCAAACAGGAUUAGAUACCCUGGUAGUC